UGCAGAUCCAUUUUCUGCCACCGAAUACAUUAGCAUGGGAUAAUGGAAUAGGACCCUGYCCUYCUAUUUUCAGUUGGUUUUGGCAGCGCGAGGACUAGGGUAAUGAUUAAUAGGGAUAGUUGGGGGCAUUAAUAUUUAAUUGUCAGAGGUGAAAUUCUUGGAUUUAUGAAAGAUUAACUUCUGCGAAAGCAUCUGCCAAGGAUGUUUUCAUUAAUCAAGAACGAAAGUUAGGGGAUCGAAGACGAUCAGAUACCGUCGUAGUCUUAACCAUAAACGAUGCCGACCAGCGAUUAGGAGACGUUGAAUACAAAACACCACCAUCGGCGCGGUCGUCCUUGGCGUCUGUCCCUUUCAACGGGGGCAGGCGCGAGGGCGGUUUAGCCCGGUGGCACCGGUGAAUGACUCCCCUAGCASCUUGUGAGAA
Molecule: ribosomal RNA, 424 nt
Filed under: Acanthamoeba genotype T4
Lineage: Eukaryota; Discosea; Longamoebia; Acanthamoebidae
Description: SSU rRNA
Rfam family: Eukaryotic small subunit ribosomal RNA
Source: RNAcentral